Molecule: ribosomal RNA, 173 nt
Filed under: uncultured bacterium
Lineage: Bacteria
Description: partial 16S ribosomal RNA
Rfam family: Bacterial small subunit ribosomal RNA
Source: RNAcentral
AAUUGCUAGUAAUGGCAGGUCAGCAUACUGCCGUGAAUACGUUCCCGGGCCUUGUACACACCGCCCGUCACACCAUGAGAGUUGGAAAUACCCGAAGCCUGUGAGCUGACGAGUUACGGGGCAGCAGUCGAAGGUAGAGCCAAUGAGUUGGGGUGAAGUCGUAACAAGGUAAC